GACGAACGCUGGCGGCGUGCCUAAUACAUGCAAGUAGAACGCUGAAGGAGGAGCUUGCUUCUGUGGGUGAGUUGCGCACGGGUGAAUCACGCGUAGGUAACGUGCCUAGUAGCGGGGGAUAACUAUUAGAAACGAUAGCUAAUACCGCAUAAUAUUGACUAUUGCAUGAUAGUCAGUUGAAAGGUGCAAGUGCACCACUACCAGAAGGACCUGCGUUGUAUUAGCUAGGUGGUGGGGUAACGGCUCACCAAGGCCACGAUGCAUAGGCGACCUGAGGGGGUGAUCGGCCGCACUGGGACUGGGACACGGCCCAGACCCCUACGGGAGGCAGCAGUAGGGAUUCUUCGGGAAGGGGCGGAAGGGUGACCGAGGAAAGCCGCGAGAGUGAGGAAGAUUUUCGGAUCGUAAAGCUCAGUUGUAAGAGGAGAACGAGUGUGAGAGUGGAGAGCUCACACUGUGACGGUAUCUGACCAGAAAGGGACGGCUAACUACGUG
Molecule: ribosomal RNA, 495 nt
Filed under: uncultured bacterium
Lineage: Bacteria
Description: partial 16S ribosomal RNA
Rfam family: Bacterial small subunit ribosomal RNA
Source: RNAcentral